This is an RNA transcript of Loxodonta africana (African savanna elephant), 2427 nucleotides long. It is a transcript of the gene named chromosome 3 C19orf44 homolog, with no coding region annotated. The record is from RefSeq and is a predicted model, not a curated record. The transcript is spliced from 10 exons. NCBI's taxonomy places the organism in Eukaryota, Metazoa, Chordata, Mammalia, Proboscidea, Elephantidae.
CCGAGAGUUGUAGUCUAGUCUCUUCCUCCCCAGUGCUGUUGCCCGGGCAACGGUCCCCUCCGGCCUGGGUGCCAGGCCUGAGCGCGGCGGCGGCCACCGCGGAUGGACAGCGUGGGAGGAGAAUGGCUUUAGCAAGAAAAGCCAGCUACUCCGUGCAGGACAUGUUUGGUGACUUCAGCGAUAUUUCCUUAGAAGAUUCAAAAAUGGAAGCAAUCAGAAACUUACAUAUUGGCAGCAGUCUUACCAAAAUUACAGGCAAUCAGAGCAGGUUCCUGAAAAGAAACCAGACAGUGAGUGAGAGACACCUAUUCCCGAAAGAGAGCCCCGUCCUGGGGGUUGGGCCCAGGCCCUCCUCAGGCCGGAUCCUGACCACCGCCUCCCAGAUCCGGGCAAGCGCUGCACUGCUGAAGCUGGCCCAGAUAGAGACCAAGAUCAGGAGCCGCAAGGCACAGAGGAGUUUGUCCGAUGUGGAGUCUGACCUGAAGACCUCUGACACCAGCCUUCCAAAGGGGGGCGAUGAGGUCCCCACCAGGAGUGUAGCUGAACUUCCUUCACAGAACACGGACAAAACUUCCCAGAAAUAUGCCGGCAAAAUCCCCGCUGCUGAGAGCCAGGCACGAAGUGGGAAGGGCACGAGGUUCCUCAAGAAGAAAGAGCCGCCCACUGAAAAUAUCUGUCCUGAAGCACAUUUUGGGAAAAAAUUCAGUUUUUCGACACCCAAGGAGAAAGAACCUGCUAGAACAUUUGACUCUCCAGACAGCGACAAAGAGGAAAUGAAAAAGUUACUGGGAAGCCUGAUGGAGCCUUCGAGAGAAAAAGAAACACGUAUGAAUCAGGGUUUCACCAGCACUAAAGUCAGUGAGAAAAAGCAAAUGGAACUCUUCUCUUCGGAUCAGAUCCCAGCUCGGCCACGAGGUCUGUCUGUACCCAGCGAGGAGCUUCCCAGCCCAAAGCCAUUCUGGAAGCCACAUCCACCAACGUCACGGUCAGGCAGCAGGACCCCUCCCCACAUCGGUUCAAGAAUGUCCUCCCCACAGACUCCCGAUUCUGGUGGCCCAGCCUCCCGCACGUCAGUGCUCUCGGUCACAGGCACCUCAUCCAGGCACCCCAAACUCUCGUCUUCCCUCGGAAGGAGUAAGGCCAGGCCCUUGGAGGAGGAGUCGCUUUCCGAAACUACCGGUGACAGCCUCGAUUUUAGAAUCAAUAUUCUAUCCCUUGAUGACUUGGCUCCAGCCAUCAGUGAGAAGCUAGACCUGGAACAGGAAGGAGAAGGUGCUUGGCGGGAAAAGCCAUCUAGCCCAGGCUCACGGGCAGAAGGGCCUGCUAGGCAGGGGUUGCCAAGACACGUCCAGGCCUGGAGCACGGCGUUCUCAGACAGUGAGGAGGGCCCCGCCAUCGAAAGCGAGGUCUCCGAGCGUCUGAGCGCCGGGCAGGGGGGUGCGUCCAGCCAGCCACCAUUGUCCCGAGACCCCUCGGCAAGCAGUGUGAGCUCGGCAUCUUUGGAUGGCCAGGAGGACCUCCCCACCGUGAGCUCAGCCUACUCAGAUGACUUUGAGGCAUCGCCAGGCCUGACUACCUCCGAGCCCACAGGCUGUUCUGAGGCGUCUCUUGACAGGACAUCAGAGGCUCUGUCAGAAUCCUCUUCAAGCCAGGAAAGGGACCGUCCCCCACAAGCCCCCAAGACCAGCAGAAAGCGGGGCCAGGAUGUGACAAGAGUGAUUGUGAAGGAGAUGGCUGUGCAGACCCCUGAUCCUGCCUUCACCUACUGGUGGGCCGAGGCGGCCAGUGUGGCAGCCAUCAGCCCUGCCCUUGGAAGCGCCUAUGUGGACCCCACGCCCAUCGCCAGUCACGUGGUCAGCGCAGACGCGAUAGAAGCCCUGACAGCCCACAGCCCAGCCGUGUUUGCGCUGAAUGACCUGCUGAGGCAGCAGCUGGCCCUGACGCAGCAGUUCCUGGAGGCCAACCGGCACCUGCACACCUCGCUCCUGGCGUCGCUGGACCAGGACACGUUCCACUACCACACCUUGGAGGAGGCCAAAGAGUACAUCCGGCGCCACAAGCCGGCUCCACUGUCCCUGAAGGAUGCCCUGGAGAAGGUACAGAAGGAGCCAUGAGCACAAGGUCUGUGGGGACAGCCCAGGUGGACCUCAGCCACCAUGCCCAGAGACCUGGGGAAGACACCGGGCUAGGGUGUUUACAUGCAGGGACACCUGUGCAAAGAUGCCAGGGCAGAGCCUUCAACCUCAAACUCCACCGCACAGAACCCGCCUGCUCAUCUGCCUGAACACACUUCAGAAAAACACGCAGGGUUUAAAAAGGGUCGUCCAGCGCCACACCCACGCCCUUGUACUGGUCCCACUUGUCCCGCACGUCGCCGCCCUUGAUGGGGUCCUGGAUGCCCUGCUCCUUCACGCCGAGGCCACCGGA